RNAcentral lists this unclassified non-coding RNA (332 nucleotides) under soil metagenome. RNAcentral's name for it is "partial contains 5.8S ribosomal RNA, internal transcribed spacer 2, and large subunit ribosomal RNA". The stretch from base 3 to 120 matches the Rfam family "5.8S ribosomal RNA", at positions 37 to 154 of the family's 154-position model. The record is from RNAcentral.
GCUGAAGAACGCAGCAAAAUGCGAUAAGUAAUGUGAAUUGCAGAAUUCAGUGAAUCAUCGAAUCUUUGAACGCACAUUGCGCCCGCCAGUAUUCUGGCGGGCAUGCCUGUUCGAGCGUCAUUUCAACCCUCAAGCACAGCUUGGUGUUGGGACUCGCGUUAAUUCGCGUUCCUCAAAUUGAUUGGCGGUCACGUCGAGCUUCCAUAGCGUAGUAGUAAAACCCUCGUUACUGGUAAUCGUCGCGGCCACGCCGUUAAACCCCAACUUCUGAAUGUUGACCUCGGAUCAGGUAGGAAUACCCGCUGAACUUAAGCAUAUCAAUAAGCGGAGGA